RNAcentral lists this long non-coding RNA (958 nucleotides) under Coturnix japonica (Japanese quail). RNAcentral describes it as "lncRNA (ENSCJPG00005008974.1)". Lineage: Eukaryota; Metazoa; Chordata; Aves; Galliformes; Phasianidae. The record is from RNAcentral.
GCUUGUGGUAAGCAAUGAAAAGAGGAAAGGUGGAACAACAUUCCACAGCUUUGGUUGUUUCGGUGCAAUGGUAGCUAACAAACCUGACAUCAGCUGAGCUGCCAUAGUGAGCACCCUCAGUAAUUCCCUUCCUUCCUCAGCAGCCAAGAGACUCAGCCUACAUAUCUGAGUCACUGCUUCACAUCCUGCCUUGCUUCAGCACUUCCUUAUAUAAAGCAGAGACUCCUCAGAGCAGCAGACUGAACUUCCAUCCACUUCAAACAGGACAGCAAGAAAUCCCAUAGACAAAAGGAGCAUCUGAUGAAGUCAAUGAGGUGGAAGGAUUCCUAAGGGCCAGCAAACCUAAAAAAUGAAACGGGAGACUGCCUGGAUGUUUGCUUGCUUGCUGAUUGCAUCUCUACCCAGAGGUCACCCAGACAUGACAUGCCACGCAUCUGUGGGAGACACUGUUGUGCUGCCUUGCACCAGCACCUCUCCUGAAGAGCUGGACAUUUCCCAGUCAAGGCUCUACUGGCAGAAAGAGGAUGACGUAGUGCAUUUCUUUCAAGAAGGGCAUGAUGAUCUGAAGUUACAGGAUGAGCAAUAUCAUGGCAGAACCAGCCUCUUUUUAAACAAGGUGAAGCACGGCAACUUUUCCUUAAAGCUCUCCAAUGUCCAGCUACAGGACGAAGCUGUGUACAGUUGCAUCUACAGCCAGUCUGGGCAUCAAACACAGAAAUCUAAAAUUAAGCUCAGUGUAUCAGAUUUACCUAGAACUGAGGAGAAACAUCAGUAUCCUGGACAUGCACAGAUUUCCGUUAGAAGUGCUGGUGAUGCACCACAUCUGGAUGUACUGCCCCUCUCUUUUCAUCUCCUGGUGGCAGUAGGGGUUUGGCACCUGUACCUGGGGAAACUGACCUUCUUCUCCUUGGAAGCUGUUCUCAAUAACAGAGACUUGCCAGGGAGACCAGCUCUGUAA